Molecule: ribosomal RNA, 465 nt
Filed under: Vreelandella stevensii
Lineage: Bacteria; Pseudomonadati; Pseudomonadota; Gammaproteobacteria; Oceanospirillales; Halomonadaceae
Description: partial 16S ribosomal RNA
Rfam family: Bacterial small subunit ribosomal RNA
Source: RNAcentral
CCUACGGGGGGCUGCAGUGGGGAAUAUUGGACAAUGGGGGGAACCCUGAUCCAGCCAUGCCGCGUGUGUGAAGAAGGCCCUCGGGUUGUAAAGCACUUUCAGUGAGGAAGAACGCCUGGUGGUUAAUACCCAUCAGGAAAGACAUCACUCACAGAAGAGGCACCGGCUAACUCCGUGCCAGCAGCCGCGGUAAUACGGAGGGUGCGAGCGUUAAUCGGAAUUACUGGGCGUAAAGCGCGCGUAGGUGGCUUGAUAAGCCGGUUGUGAAAGCCCCGGGCUCAACCUGGGAACGGCAUCCGGAACUGUCAAGCUAGAGUGCAGGAGAGGAAGGUAGAAUUCCCGGUGUAGCGGUGAAAUGCGUAGAGAUCGGGAGGAAUACCAGUGGCGAAGGCGGCCUUCUGGACUGACACUGACACUGAGGUGCGAAAGCGUGGGUAGCAAACAGGAUUAGAUACCCUGGUAGUC